This 285-nucleotide unclassified non-coding RNA is filed under the name Hevea brasiliensis (rubber tree). The record is from RNAcentral. Lineage: Eukaryota; Viridiplantae; Streptophyta; Magnoliopsida; Malpighiales; Euphorbiaceae.
AUUGUAUUGGGCCCCACUUUAACGCCCCUAACAAAAUUUAAUUAAAUUAAAAAUAUUAACAAUUUUAAAUUAAAAGCCAUUUAUGGAGGAGUAGUCCUAUUCUCGCCGGCCAUCAGUGACCUCAACAAUCACAGGCAGCUCUAUCGCCGUCCGAUUAAUGAUUUUCUGUGCGACGCCUACAUGCGUGACAUAAUACCAUAGAGAUCUUAUUAACAAACUAAAUUAAAGGUCAUUUAUGGAGGAAUUUAACAAAGGGGGCAAUAUUGUUUUCAAGGGUGGGUGUGG